RNAcentral lists this ribosomal RNA (342 nucleotides) under bacterium A5T_VP8_B12. RNAcentral describes it as "bacterial SSU rRNA". It matches the Rfam family "Bacterial small subunit ribosomal RNA", at positions 337 to 670 of the family's 1533-position model. The record is from RNAcentral.
UCCUACGGGAGGCAGCAGUGGGGAAUAUUGGACAAUGGGCGAAAGCCUGAUCCAGCCAUGCCGCGUGUGUGAAGAAGGUCUUCGGAUUGUAAAGCACUUUAAGUUGGGAGGAAGGGCAGUAAGUUAAUACCUUGCUGUUUUGACGUUACCGACAGAAUAAGCACCGGUUAACUUCGUGCCAACAGCCGCGGUAAUACGAAGGGUGCAAGCGUUAAUCGAAAUUACUGGGCGUAAAACGCGCGUAGGUGGUUCGUUAAGUUGGAUGAGAAAGCCCCGGGUUCAACCUGGGAAAUGACUCCAAAAACUGGGCAACCUUAAACUAUGAAACAAAGGUGGGAGGAA